This is a long non-coding RNA of Gorilla gorilla gorilla (western lowland gorilla), 2019 nucleotides long. RefSeq lists it as uncharacterized. The transcript has 3 exons. NCBI's taxonomy places the organism in Eukaryota, Metazoa, Chordata, Mammalia, Primates, Hominidae. The record is from RefSeq and is a predicted model, not a curated record.
AGUAGAGGGGCGGGAGGAGCUGGGUCCUCGGGAACCAAAGGGGACCUCAGCGGGGGCGGAGUGCGCAGCCUUGGCUGCUGGGAAAUGCCCAACUAGCCGCUGUGAGUGCCCACAGCGCGUCGUGGGGGCGUCCGUUCUGCAGCUCGGGUGACUCAGACGCCCUGCCAACCCCACCAGCUCCCGGCUUCUCGAACGCUCUUCUGAUCGCCCAGCGGGGAGACUUCAGGGCCUGCCUCGUCAGGCCAGAUUGCAGCCCGCGACCUUCCCGGAUCAACCAAGGGCGAGGCCUGUUGCCCAGCAAGGCUGCCACCUAACUGAGCCUCCCGGGGAACAGCCAUGACCAAAGCCCCGCGGGCCCAGGCGCGGGCACCUACCCCUACCCGCUCAGGCUUGUGGGAGCGCAGGGGCAGAGGCCGAGACGCUGGACUUUCAGCCCCACACCUCUGACAACCCGGGCACGUCUGCGGAGCCCGGGGGAACAAUCAGCGGGCUCUGCGUCCCGGGAGCUGGGGACACGCCUGCAAGGGCUUUCCGCCUGCACACAGUCAUUUGGAGAAAAUCAAGUGAGUGCACUUCUCCCCACAGAGGAUUCUGUAUGUUAUGUAACACACUCACACUGGGAUUCCUCAGGUUACCAUUUUGCCCCAACUCAGCCAGCACUUGGUUUUCUGGCGGGGGUGUCAGGAUGAUGCAAAUGGAGGUGGAAGCUUCAUUCCCUGGGGGCUUUUAUUCCCCUCCUUGAAGCCCCAGUUCAAGGCCCAGGAACAAAGGGGAAAGGUAACUGAUCUCUCUUUUGGUCUUUCUCUCCCCUCACUUCCACCCCUUCACCUGCAGGCCCUCCUCUUUGAUAAAUAGAGGAAAGCCCGUGGGAUCAGGUACAUAUGUAAAUACUGCUGACCUCGGCCGCCCCUCCUCACCGAAAAGCAGAAAGCCCGUUUCAGGUGCAGGCUGCUCCGUGCCUUUGAGUGUCCACCACUUCUAUUCCCCCAGACUGCUUGGGACUCAAGGCCACUCACUUAAUAUCCCUCUCUUGUUAAAAACAUUCAGGACAACUAUUAAAUAGUUAUUGGAAGAGUUAAAGACCUUCUUUCAGGAGUGAAACGUUUUUAAAGCUGUGCUUGGCAUACGUCUUUAAGGCGUACAAAGUAGAAUCAGUAGACUUGCCUGAGCGAUUUUGAAAUUUGAAAGAUUUCUCCCCAUGAAAUGGUAAUUUAAAAUAGUUCGUAGAUGUUGUUUUGUUCUAUGAUGGCUUUUUCACCAUUGUCACCUAAAGAUUCUCAAGACCAAGCUACUAAGACAUUUCUUUUCAUUUGGUUACUUUCUGGGUGAUACUGUGCUUUCUGAUUAGACCUAUUUAAUUUAUUUUUUUAACUCUGCAGGAGAGUUUUCAACCUUGGAAAUUGUGCAAUGUUCCAGCCGACUUAAUGGGCUUGCCUUAUGCGGAGAGGCAGUCCUGCAGGACAGAGCUAAUGUGUGGUCUCCCAGGAAGCUCAUCAGAACACCUCUUGUCCCUUUUCUUUAAAAGAAAAAAAAUUUAAAAAGUUUUUGCUUCCAUCUCAAUGUCCAUUCCAUUAUUUUGUAGCUACAAUAAAGAAACAUGGGCAGCAGUGAUCAUUCUUUUUGUCCUAUGUAAUCAUGUCUAGUGUUAGGAACUUACAAAGCCCCAGACAUACCUCAGGUGUAUUCUGCACUUUUCACAUUUAUUCACUGCUCACUGGGUCACACAGAUAAUUCACACUUGAUUCCACCUUCCUCUGGACAACUCUCCCUCAAACAACACCCCUCUAUCAACUUAUAGGGAAAGGAGAUUCACUUAGAGAAAACUUCUUGAAUUAAAGACCAGACUCAGUUUCGCCAGGUAACUGAUCCUGGCCAUACCGGUGACUAGGAAGUCAUCACCUAACACUCUACCUAGAUAUAAACUCUCAGGAAGGAGGCAGGCCGGUGGGGACAUUUCCACAGACAUUUCUAAAACUGUGGCAACUGAGUACAUUUUACAGAUACAAUUUUGGUACAUUC